AGAGUUUGAUCCUGGCUCAGAGCGAACGCUGGCGGCAGGCCUAACACAUGCAAGUCGAGCGCCCGUAGCAAUACGGGAGCGGCAGACGGGAGAGUAACACGUGGGAACGCGCCCUUCGGUUCGGAAUAACUCAGGGAAACUUGAGCUAAUACCGGAUACGCCCUUACGGGGAAAGAUUUAUUGCCGAAGGAACGGCCCGCGUCCGAUUAGCUAGUUGGUGAGGUAAUGGCUCACCAAGGCGACGAUCGGUAGCUGGUCUGAGAGGAUGACCAGCCUCACUGGGACUGAGACACGGCCCAGACUCCUACGGGAGGCAGCAGUGGGGAAUAUUGGACAAUGGGCGCAAGCCUGAUCCAGCCAUGCCGCGUGGAUGAUGAA
Molecule: ribosomal RNA, 378 nt
Filed under: uncultured Alphaproteobacteria bacterium
Lineage: Bacteria; Pseudomonadati; Pseudomonadota; Alphaproteobacteria
Description: bacterial SSU rRNA
Rfam family: Bacterial small subunit ribosomal RNA
Source: RNAcentral